This 317-nucleotide long non-coding RNA is filed under the name Populus trichocarpa (black cottonwood). RNAcentral describes it as "long non-coding RNA (PTRI_LNC000039)". The record is from RNAcentral. Lineage: Eukaryota; Viridiplantae; Streptophyta; Magnoliopsida; Malpighiales; Salicaceae.
UUUCUGCAGAAGAUAAGGCUUCAGGAGUGAAGAAUAAGAUUACCAUCACCAAUGACAAGGGAAGACUGGGCAAGGAUGAUAUUGAGAGAAUGGUGCAAGAGGCAGAGAGAUACAAAGCAGAGGAUGAGAAAGUGAAGAAGAAGGUGGAGGCCAAGAAUGCCCUGGAGAACUACGCUUACAAUAUGAGGAAUACAGUGAGAGAUGACAAGGUUGGUGGUAAGUUGGACCCGGCCGACAAGCAGAAGAUUGAGAAGGAGAUUGAGGAGACAAUUGACUGGCUAGACAGGAAUCAAUUGGCAGAAGUAGAUGAAUUUGAG